RNAcentral lists this ribosomal RNA (523 nucleotides) under Aspergillus niger. RNAcentral's name for it is "SSU rRNA". It matches the Rfam family "Eukaryotic small subunit ribosomal RNA", at positions 31 to 560 of the family's 1831-position model. Lineage: Eukaryota; Fungi; Ascomycota; Eurotiomycetes; Eurotiales; Aspergillaceae. The record is from RNAcentral.
CUUGUCUCAAAGAUUAGCCAUGCAUGUCUAAGUAUAAGCACUUUAUACUGUGAACUGCGAAUGGCUCAUUAAAUCAGUUAUCGUUUAUUUGAUAGUACCUUACCACAUGGAUACCUGUGGUAAUUCUAGAGCUAAUACAUGCUGAAAACCUCGACUUCGGAAGGGGUGUAUUUAUUAGAUAAAAAACCAAUGCCCUUCGGGGCUGCUUGGUGAAUCAUAAUAACUUAACGAAUCGCAUGGCCUUGCGCCGGCGAUGGUUCAUUCAAAUUUCUGCCCUAUCAACUUUCGAUGGUAGGAUAGUGGCCUACCAUGGUGGCAACGGGUAACGGGGAAUUAGGGUUCGUUACGGAGAGGGAGCCUGAGAAACGGCUACCACAUCCAAGGAAGGCAGCAGGCGCGCAAAUUACCCAAUCCCGACACGGGGAGGUAGUGACAAUAAAUACUGAUACGGGGCUCUUUUGGGUCUCGUAAUUGGAAUGAGUACAAUCUAAAUCCCUUAACGGGGACAAAUUGAGGGGCAAGU